UACGUAGGUGGCAAGCGUUGUCCGGAAUUAUUGGGCGUAAAGCGCGCGCAGGCGGUCCUUUAAGUCUGAUGUGAAAGCCCACGGCUCAACCGUGGAGGGUCAUUGGAAACUGGGGGACUUGAGUACAGAAGAGGAAAGCGGAAUUCCACGUGUAGCGGUGAAAUGCGUAGAGAUGUGGAGGAACACCAGUGGCGAAGGCGGCUUUCUGGUCUGUAACUGACGCUGAGACGCGAAAGCGUGGGGAGCGAACAGG
Molecule: ribosomal RNA, 253 nt
Filed under: uncultured bacterium
Lineage: Bacteria
Description: partial 16S ribosomal RNA
Rfam family: Bacterial small subunit ribosomal RNA
Source: RNAcentral